CGGGGGGAUGGCGCUCGUGGGGCUGCGCUUGCUGCUGUUGUUCUUGGUCGGGGACUCGGCAGCCUCUUUGAAUGCUCAAUUUAGUCAACAUUCAGAACAUAGAACACCAAACUGUGAUCAGUAUAAAUUACCAGGAUGUCCCAGGGACUUUAGCCCUGUGUGUGGAAGCGACAUGUCCACUUAUCCCACUGAGUGUGUUCUAUGCAUGAAAAUCAGUCCAGCCACAAGAACUCAAGAGGGUAGAGGGGGAAAUUUCUUUUACCCUGACAGUUGGUGAGCCAGGAGGAUCCUGGCUGGAAGCCACUUCCCAACCUGAGGCUCCUGCAGCUAAGAGAUCCUGGGCCCUCUGAUAAAGACCAGCAGAAGGGAUGAUGGUCAUGAUAUUAAAAUAAUCCGAAGUGGACCAUGCUGAUGGAGCAGUUCACAGAAGAGGAACUGGAGAAACCACCUUCCACUGCACACUAAAUGAACUUCAUUUCCUGCUUUUCUCUUUUCCUGUAUUUCUUUGCAUGAGAUUUUCUGAGAUGAGUUGUGUAAGAGGGCAGUGACUGAUAAAACAACUACAAAAUCCUCAUUUUUGGCUUUUAUCCUUUUAGUUAAGCUUAUUGCCCAUAUGACCUAUGCAUUGCUUUAUUUAAUUGGAAUAAAAUCAGCACUGUAUUUAAUCACCACA
Molecule: RNA transcript, 673 nt
Organism: Dama dama (fallow deer)
Lineage: Eukaryota; Metazoa; Chordata; Mammalia; Artiodactyla; Cervidae
Gene name: serine protease inhibitor Kazal-type 2-like
Exons: 5
Source: RefSeq, a predicted model, not a curated record